This 248-nucleotide ribosomal RNA is filed under the name uncultured Lachnospiraceae bacterium. RNAcentral's name for it is "partial 16S ribosomal RNA". It matches the Rfam family "Bacterial small subunit ribosomal RNA", at positions 524 to 771 of the family's 1533-position model. Lineage: Bacteria; Bacillati; Bacillota; Clostridia; Lachnospirales; Lachnospiraceae. The record is from RNAcentral.
UACGUAGGGGGCAAGCGUUAUCCGGAUUUACUGGGUGUAAAGGGAGCGUAGACGGCUAAGCAAGUCAGAAGUGAAAACCCGCGGCUCAACUGCGGGAGUGCUUUUGAAACUGUUUGGCUGGAGUGCAGGAGAGGUAAGUGGAAUUCCUAGUGUAGCGGUGAAAUGCGUAGAUAUUAGGAGGAACACCAGUGGCGAAGGCGGCUUACUGGACUGUAACUGACGUUGAGGCUCGAAAGCGUGGGGAGCAA